GAUGAAGAACGUAGUGAAAUGCGAUACGUAAUGUGAAUUGCAAAUUCAGUGAAUCAUCGAGUCUUUGAACGCACAUUGCGCCCCCUGGUAUUCCGGGGGGCAUGCCUGUCCGAGCGUCAUUGCUGCCCUCAAGCACGGCUUGUGUGUUGGGCCCCGUCCUCCGAUCCCGGGGGCCGGGCCCGAAAGGCAGCGGCGGCACCGCGUCCGGUCCUCGAGCGUAUGGGGCUUUGUCACCCGCUCUGUAGGCCCGGCCGGCGCUUGCCGAUCAACCCAAAUUUUUAUCCAGGUUGACCUCGGAUCAGGUAGGGAUACCCGCUGAACUUAAGCAUAUCAAUAAGCGGAGGA
This 345-nucleotide unclassified non-coding RNA is filed under the name soil metagenome. RNAcentral describes it as "partial contains 5.8S ribosomal RNA, internal transcribed spacer 2, and large subunit ribosomal RNA". The stretch from base 1 to 119 matches the Rfam family "5.8S ribosomal RNA", at positions 35 to 154 of the family's 154-position model. The record is from RNAcentral.